CGAUGUAGACACGGGGGCUUGCUUGGCAGGCUGAGAUGAAGCGAACGCUUCGACCGCAUGAACGUGAACCGGAUAAUGCCGGCGCACGGACGUCGUAUUUCCCGUGUC
Molecule: non-coding RNA, 108 nt
Filed under: Bifidobacterium animalis
Lineage: Bacteria; Bacillati; Actinomycetota; Actinomycetes; Bifidobacteriales; Bifidobacteriaceae
Also listed under: 1 other name
Description: TPP sequence
Rfam family: TPP riboswitch aptamer (THI element)
About the family: Vitamin B(1) in its active form thiamin pyrophosphate (TPP) is an essential coenzyme that is synthesised by coupling of pyrimidine and thiazole moieties in bacteria. The previously detected thiamin-regulatory element, thi box was extended, resulting in a new, highly conserved RNA secondary structure, the THI element, which is widely distributed in eubacteria and also occurs in some archaea. Analysis of operon structures identified a large number of new candidate thiamin-regulated genes, mostly transporters, in various prokaryotic organisms.
Source: RNAcentral